Papaver somniferum (opium poppy) is the source of this 533-nucleotide long non-coding RNA. RefSeq lists it as uncharacterized. The transcript has 3 exons. The record is from RefSeq and is a predicted model, not a curated record. NCBI's taxonomy places the organism in Eukaryota, Viridiplantae, Streptophyta, Magnoliopsida, Ranunculales, Papaveraceae.
CCCCUGACUCGGUCCCUGUAGAGUCAGGCAUGGAAAUGCUCCUGAGUCGGUGCCUAUUACCCCUGAGUCAUAGAAAUUGACAAAAAUGCCCUCGAUAUUAUAUCAAAAAAUUACAUUUCUUCUUUUCUCAUUUUCUUCGUUUGUUCCGUCAAGAGGAGAGAUGGGAGAUAAGCAACCAAACCCGAUCUCCAUCAUCGCCCUCAUCUGAUAUCUCCUUCGUCUUCAACUGAUAUUCUCCUUCAUCACCUCAUCUCAUCUUUUGAUCUGUUUCAUAUCAUCUAAAAGCUUCCUUUUGAAUCAUCAUCAUCUUCAGGUAUAAUAUCCUGGUUAGUGCUACCAAAUCAUCAGGGCUAGUUCGCAUAUAACCUUAUACAUUAUCUCAGUAGGCAGACAUUUGUUUCCAUCACUGGAUCCUAAAGCAGUUCUCUAUGGAGAAAAAAGAAGAUGAAAAAGCAAAUAAGAUAACUUUUAGGAGCAUCCCAGCAUUUAGAGGAUUAUUUAUUGACCAAUGUUUGGCACAAGCUACUGAGCAU